Molecule: ribosomal RNA, 300 nt
Filed under: uncultured bacterium
Lineage: Bacteria
Description: bacterial SSU rRNA
Rfam family: Bacterial small subunit ribosomal RNA
Source: RNAcentral
GCGUGGAGGACGAAGGCCUUCGGGUCGUAAACUCCUGUCAGUAGGGAAGAAAAGCCACCGGUCAAUACCCGGUGGCCAUGACGGUACCUGCAGAGGAAGCCCCGGCUAACUCCGUGCCAGCAGCCGCGGUAAUACGGAGGGGGCAAGCGUUAUUCGGAAUUAUUGGGCGUAAAGGGCGCGCAGGCGGCCUGGUAGGUCAAAGGUGAAAUCCCUCGGCUCAACCGAGGAACUGCCUUUGAAACCGUCAGGCUCGAGGCUGGGAGGGGGUAGCGGAAUUCCCGGUGUAGCGGUGAAAUGCGU